This 77-nucleotide transfer RNA is filed under the name Glaciecola punicea. RNAcentral describes it as "tRNA-Trp". It matches the Rfam family "tRNA". From Rfam's summary of the family: Transfer RNA (tRNA) molecules are approximately 80 nucleotides in length. Their secondary structure includes four short double-helical elements and three loops (D, anti-codon, and T loops). The record is from RNAcentral. RNAcentral also lists the same sequence under 1 other name. Lineage: Bacteria; Pseudomonadati; Pseudomonadota; Gammaproteobacteria; Alteromonadales; Alteromonadaceae.
AGGAGUGUAGUUCCAAUUGGUAGAACAGCGGUCUCCAAAACCGAUGGCUGGGGGUUCGAGUCCCUCCACUCCUGCCA